GCGGCGAACGGGUGAGUAACACGUAGGUAAUCUACCUCCAGGUUGGGGAUAACUCCGGGAAACCGAAGCUAAUACCCAAUGGUAUUUGAAGAUGGGGACAUUUUCAAAUUAAAGAUUUAUUGCCGGGAGAUGAGCCUGCGUCUGAUUAGCUUGAUGGUGGGGUAACGGCCUACCAUGGCGACGAUCAGUAGCCGGCCUGAGAGGGUGAACGGCCACAUUGGGACUGAGACACGGCCCAGACUCC
RNAcentral lists this ribosomal RNA (244 nucleotides) under uncultured bacterium. RNAcentral's name for it is "partial 16S ribosomal RNA". It matches the Rfam family "Bacterial small subunit ribosomal RNA", at positions 95 to 339 of the family's 1533-position model. The record is from RNAcentral.